This 397-nucleotide ribosomal RNA is filed under the name uncultured bacterium. RNAcentral describes it as "bacterial SSU rRNA". It matches the Rfam family "Bacterial small subunit ribosomal RNA", at positions 490 to 890 of the family's 1533-position model. The record is from RNAcentral.
GGAUCGGCUAACUCCGUGCCAGCAGCCGCGGUAAUACGGAGGAUCCGAGCGUUAUCCGGAUUUAUUGGGUUUAAAGGGAGCGUAGGUGGAAGAUUAAGUCAGUUGUGAAAGUUUGCGGCUCAACCGUAAAAUUGCAGUUGAUACUGGUUUCUUGAGUGCAGUAGAGGUGGGCGGAAUUCGUGGUGUAGCGGUGAAAUGCUUAGAUAUCACGAAGAACUCCGAUUGCGAAGGCAGCUCACUGGACUGUAACUGACACUGAUGCUCGAAAGUGUGGGUAUCAAACAGGAUUAGAUACCCUGGUAGUCCACACAGUAAACGAUGAAUACUCGCUGUUUGCGAUAUACAGUAAGCGGCCAAGCGAAAGCGUUAAGUAUUCCACCUGGGGAGUACGCCGGCA